UGGGGAAUAUUGGACAAUGGGCGCAAGCCUGAUCCAGCCAUGCCGCGUGAGUGAUGAAGGCCUUAGGGUUGUAAAGCUCUUUCAACGGGGAAGAUAAUGACGGUACCCGCAGAAGAAGCCCCGGCUAACUUCGUGCCAGCAGCCGCGGUAAUACGAAGGGGGCUAGCGUUGCUCGGAAUCACUGGGCGUAAAGCGCACGUAGGCGGAUUCUUAAGUCAGGGGUGAAAUCCCGGAGCUCAACUCCGGAACUGCCUUUGAUACUGAGAAUCUCGAGUUCGGGAGAGGUGAGUGGAACUGCGAGUGUAGAGGUGAAAUUCGUAGAUAUUCGCAAGAACACCAGUGGCGAAGGCGGCUCACUGGCCCGAUACUGACGCUGAGGUGCGAAAGCGUGGGGAGCAAACAGGAUUAGAUACCCGCGUAGUCC
RNAcentral lists this ribosomal RNA (424 nucleotides) under uncultured bacterium. Its description in RNAcentral is "bacterial SSU rRNA". It matches the Rfam family "Bacterial small subunit ribosomal RNA", at positions 355 to 796 of the family's 1533-position model. The record is from RNAcentral.